This 253-nucleotide ribosomal RNA is filed under the name Anaerostipes hadrus ATCC 29173 = JCM 17467. Its description in RNAcentral is "Anaerostipes hadrus DSM 3319 partial 16S ribosomal RNA". It matches the Rfam family "Bacterial small subunit ribosomal RNA", at positions 524 to 776 of the family's 1533-position model. The record is from RNAcentral. Lineage: Bacteria; Bacillati; Bacillota; Clostridia; Lachnospirales; Lachnospiraceae.
UACGUAGGGGGCAAGCGUUAUCCGGAAUUACUGGGUGUAAAGGGUGCGUAGGUGGUAUGGCAAGUCAGAAGUGAAAACCCAGGGCUUAACUCUGGGACUGCUUUUGAAACUGUCAGACUAGAGUGCAAGAGAGGUAAGCGGAAUUCCUAGUGUAGCGGUGAAAUGCGUAGAUAUUAGGAGGAACAUCAGUGGCGAAGGCGGCUUACUGGACUGAAACUGACACUGAGGCACGAAAGCGUGGGGAGCAAACAGG